Molecule: ribosomal RNA, 257 nt
Filed under: uncultured bacterium
Lineage: Bacteria
Description: partial 16S ribosomal RNA
Rfam family: Bacterial small subunit ribosomal RNA
Source: RNAcentral
UAGCAAUACCGGGUGGCGACCGGCGCACGGGUGAGUAACACGUAUCCAACCUGCCCUUUACUCGGGGAUAGCCUUUCGAAAGAAAGAUUAAUACCCGAUAGCAUAAUGAUUCCGCAUGGUUUCAUUAUUAAAGGAUUCCGGUAAAGGAUGGGGAUGCGUUCCAUUAGGUUGUUGGUGGGGUAACGGCCCACCAAGCCUUCGAUGGAUAGGGGUUCUGAGAGGAAGGUCCCCCACAUUGGAACUGAGACACGGUCCAA